This 163-nucleotide ribosomal RNA is filed under the name Audouinia capitata. Its description in RNAcentral is "5.8S ribosomal RNA". It matches the Rfam family "5.8S ribosomal RNA". From Rfam's summary of the family: 5.8S ribosomal RNA (5.8S rRNA) is a component of the large subunit of the eukaryotic ribosome. It is transcribed by RNA polymerase I as part of the 45S precursor that also contains 18S and 28S rRNA. Lineage: Eukaryota; Viridiplantae; Streptophyta; Magnoliopsida; Bruniales; Bruniaceae. The record is from RNAcentral.
AAACGACUCUCGGCAACGAAUAUCUCGGCUCUCGCAUCGAUAAAGAAUGUAGCAAAAUGCGAUACUUGGUGUUAAUUCAAGAAUCCCGUGAACCAUCAAGACUUUGAACGCAAGUUGCGCCCGAAGCAAUUAGGCCGAGGGCACGUUUGCCUGGGCGUYACGC